This 325-nucleotide ribosomal RNA is filed under the name uncultured bacterium. RNAcentral describes it as "bacterial SSU rRNA". It matches the Rfam family "Bacterial small subunit ribosomal RNA", at positions 32 to 346 of the family's 1533-position model. The record is from RNAcentral.
AAUCAACGCUGGCGGCGUGCCUAACACAUGCAAGUCGAACGCGAGAGGGGCUUCGGCUCUGAUUGAGUGGCAAACGGGUGAGUAACGCGUGGGUGACCUACCUUCGAGUGGGGGAUAACGUUCCGAAAGGGACGCUAAUACCGCAUAACAUCCUGUCUUUGGACAGAUGGAGAUCAAAGCCGGGAUCGUAAGACCUGGCGCUUGAGGAGGGCCCGCGUCCGAUUAGCUAGUUGGGGGUAAUGGCUCACCAAGGCAACGAUCGGUAGCCGGCCUGAGAGGGCGGACGCCACACUGGGACUGAGACACGGCCCAGACUCCUACGGGA